Long non-coding RNA from Hemicordylus capensis (graceful crag lizard), 334 nucleotides. RefSeq lists it as uncharacterized. The record is from RefSeq and is a predicted model, not a curated record. Lineage: Eukaryota; Metazoa; Chordata; Lepidosauria; Squamata; Cordylidae. The transcript has 3 exons.
GCCAGAAGUUAACUCUGCUGUCACUUCCGGCUCUCUAGGAAACACUGAUACAUGGGUUUUAACCCCUUCAUAUCCGCGAGAACUGAAAAAGGGUGUCAAUGAGACUCCCCACGGAUACGCAGAACUAGUGCUCUUUUAUUCCAUGCACUAUGUAACAAAAGACAAGCAGAGAAGAAUAAUGCCAAAGCUGAAAAUUGUGCAUUAAAAUAGCCUUUCAUAAAAGGACCAGAAUUUUUGAAAUCAGAAGUUCCCAACCCUGGAAGCAAGCCACAGGCUAAGAGAGAUAGAAGCUGAAUGGGCGUAAAGUUUGAUGGCAUGUGGUAUUGGAUUUUCC